CAUCAAUCUCUAGAAGAACCAAACCUCAGCACCAACCUGUUCAUCAUGAUGAUCAGAAUCCUCUGCCUGAGCGUCCUCGUGCUGCUUUUCUGCACAGACAUUGAAGCUAAAAAAGAAAAGACCGAAAAGACCGAAAAGUUCAAAAAGUUCAAGUGUUUCACUUGUACAGAGAAAUACUGCAAAAAACAACAGUAUUGUAGUGAAGGACAGGUCUGCAUGAGCGCCUCUGUUAUCGAAGUCACACAUGGACAUCAGAAUAAAUCCUACUACAGGUCCUGUACGUCACCUUCAUACUGUCCAAAGAGUGAAAAAGCAGAGACCUUGUCCAUCGGCUUGGGUUAUCAGGUGUUUGUGGCGAACGUUAAGUGCUGCAAGUCCCAUCUCUGCAACAAAAAACGUCAACCCCACCCUAAGAUACCAUCAGGAAAUGGGUUGACGUGCCUUUUCUGCAGCAACACUAAAAACCCAAAGGAAUGCAAAGUCAAGGAAUGCAUUGGAAAUCAAACUCACUGCGUGCAAGUAAUCAGAAAUGGAACUCAUCAGAGUGGGUGUGCAACUAAAAACUUCUGUCACCCCAACAAGAUACUUGGACGCUACAAGCCUGUUAAUGGCUUCGCUGGUGCCCUCAGUUUUCCAGCUGAGUGUGAGAAAGCAAAACCUGCACCUGAGCCAACAACUGCUGAACCAACAACUGCUGAACCAACAACUGCUGAACCAACAACUGCUGAACCAAAGUGUGUUCCAGUUGAAACCACUCCUGAACCAACCCUUCCACCCUGUGAUAGAAAGGGAUAACUACUCCCACCACGUAAAACCAGUUUCUUUGUCUUGCUGACAAAAUCAUUAAAAGGUUGAUUAAAGUCUGGGUGAAUCUUUAGUGGAUCCUACAUCAAACAUAGAGAUCUUAACAAACUUAUCAGACCACCACCCACUGUGAGCUUAAAUCACAGCAUUGGUAAAUAUCUUUGUUUCUGUCAUUUGGCUAAUCUCCUAAACAAAAAAAAUGGUUGGUGGUUGAAUACAUUUGUUAACCAACUCAUGUGAUGUUUUGCUUUUAGUGAUGUUAUUAGAUGAUGAAUUAAUGAAGAUCAAAGCUUCUUUCAAAGGAGCUUUGAUGACUUCUAACUUCUAAAUGUGACUCUUUUAGUAAAGGUAGCAGGGCUGAGUUUCUAAUGCUUUCUUAAAAUGCUUUCUGCAUGGGAACAAUCAUUAAAGAGGUGAAAUAAAACUAUCAGCAAAC
RNAcentral lists this long non-coding RNA (1240 nucleotides) under Gouania willdenowi (blunt-snouted clingfish). RNAcentral's name for it is "lncRNA (ENSGWIG00000008964.1)". The record is from RNAcentral. Lineage: Eukaryota; Metazoa; Chordata; Actinopteri; Blenniiformes; Gobiesocidae.